CUGGCGGCGGCUUACCAUGCAGUCGAACGGGCGUAGCAAUACGUCAGUGGCAGACGGGUGAGUAACGCGUGGGAACGUACCUUUUGGUUCGGAACAACUGAGGGAAACUUCAGCUAAUACCGGAUAAGCCCUUACGGGGAAAGAUUUAUCGCCGAAAGAUCGGCCCGCGUCUGAUUAGCUAGUUGGUGAGGUAAUGGCUCACCAAGGCGACGAUCAGUAGCUGGUCUGAGAGGAUGAUCAGCCACAUUGGGACUGAGACACGGCCCAAACUCCUACGGGAGGCAGCAGUGGGGAAUAUUGGACAAUGGGGGCAACCCUGAUCCAGCCAUGCCGCGUGAGUGAUGAAGGCCCUAGGGUUGUAAAGCUCUUUUGUGCGGGAAGAUAAUGACGGUACCGCAAGAAUAAGCCCCGGCUAACUUCGUGCCAGCAGCCGCGGUAAUACGAAGGGGGCUAGCGUUGCUCGGAAUCACUGGGCGUAAAGGGUGCGUAGGCGGGUUUCUAAGUCAGAGGUGAAAGCCUGGAGCUCAACUCCAGAACUGCCUUUGAUACUGGAAGUCUUGAGUAUGGCAGAGGUGAGUGGAACUGCGAGUGUAGAGGUGAAAUUCGUAGAUAUUCGCAAGAACACCAGUGGCGAAGGCGGCUCACUGGGCCAUUACUGACGCUGAGGCACGAAAGCGUGGGGAGCAAACAGGAUUAGAUACCCUGGUAGUCCACGCCGUAACGAUGAAUGCCAGCCGUUAGUGGGUUUACUCACUAGUGGCGCAGCUAACGCUUUAAGCAUUCCGCCUGGGGAGUACGGUCGCAGAUUAAACUCAAAGGA
Molecule: ribosomal RNA, 820 nt
Filed under: uncultured Rhodobacter sp.
Lineage: Bacteria; Pseudomonadati; Pseudomonadota; Alphaproteobacteria; Rhodobacterales
Description: bacterial SSU rRNA
Rfam family: Bacterial small subunit ribosomal RNA
Source: RNAcentral